AAAUUGAAGAGUUUGAUCAUGGCUCAGAUUGAACGCUGGCGGCAGGCCUAACACAUGCAAGUCGAGCGGUAGCACAGAGAGCUUGCUCUCGGGUGACGAGCGGCGGACGGGUGAGUAAUGUCUGGGAAACUGCCUGAUGGAGGGGAUAACUACUGGAAACGGUAGCUAAUACCGCAUAACGUCGCAAGACCAAAGUGGGGACCUUCGGGCCUCAUGCCAUCAGAUGUGCCCAGAUGGGAUUAGCUAGUAGGUGGGGUAACGGCUCACCUAGGCGACGAUCCUAGCUGGUCUGAGAGGAUGACCAGCCACACUGGAACUGAGACACGGUCCAGACUCCUACGGGAGGCAGCAGUGGGAAUAUUGCACAAUGGGCGCAAGCCUGAUGCAGCCAUGCCGCGUGUGUGAAGAAGGCCUUCGGGUUGUAAAGCACUUUCAGCGGGGAGGAAGGCGUUAAGGUUAAUAACCUUGGCGAUUGACGUUACCCGCAGAAGAAGCACCGGCUAACUCCGUGCCAGCAGCCGCGGUAAUACGGAGGGUGCAAGCGUUAAUCGGAAUUACUGGGCGUAAAGCGCACGCAGGCGGUCUGUCAAGUCGGAUGUGAAAUCCCCGGGCUCAACCGGGAACUGCAUUCGAAACUGGCAGGCUAGAGUCUUGUAGAGGGGUAGAAUUCCGGUGUAGCGGUGAAAUGCGUAGAGAUCUGGAGGAAUACCGGUGGCGAAGGCGGCCCCUGGACAAAGACUGACGCUCAGGUGCGAAAGCGUGGGGAGCAAACAGGAUUAGAUACCCUGGUAGUCCACGCCGUAAACGAUGUCGAUUUGGAGGUUGUGCCCUUGAGGCGUGGCUUCCGGAGCUAACGCGUUAAAUCGACCGCCUGGGAGUACGGCCGCAAGGUUAAAACUCAAAUGAAUUGACGGGGCCCGCACAAGCGGUGGAGCAUGUGGUUUAAUUCGAUGCAACGCGAAGAACCUUACCUGGUCUUGACAUCCACAGAACUUUCCAGAGAUGGAUUGGUGCCUUCGGGAACUGUGAGACAGGUGCUGCAUGGCUGUCGUCAGCUCGUGUUGUGAAAUGUUGGGUUAAGUCCCGCAACGAGCGCAACCCUUAUCCUUUGUUGCCAGCGGUUCGGCCGGGAACUCAAAGGAGACUGCCAGUGAUAAACUGGAGGAAGGUGGGGAUGACGUCAAGUCAUCAUGGCCCUUACGACCAGGGCUACACACGUGCUACAAUGGCAUAUACAAAGAGAAGCGACCUCGCGAGAGCAAGCGGACCUCAUAAAGUAUGUCGUAGUCCGGAUUGGAGUCUGCAACUCGACUCCAUGAAGUCGGAAUCGCUAGUAAUCGUAGAUCAGAAUGCUACGGUGAAUACGUUCCCGGGCCUUGUACACACCGCCCGUCACACCAUGGGAGUGGGUUGCAAAAGAAGUAGGUAGCUUAACCUUCGGGAGGGCGCUUACCACUUUGUGAUUCAUGACUGGGGUGAAGUCGUAACAAGGUAACCGUAGGGGAACCUGCGGUUGGAUCACCUCCUUA
Molecule: ribosomal RNA, 1529 nt
Filed under: Klebsiella pneumoniae
Lineage: Bacteria; Pseudomonadati; Pseudomonadota; Gammaproteobacteria; Enterobacterales; Enterobacteriaceae
Description: bacterial SSU rRNA
Rfam family: Bacterial small subunit ribosomal RNA
Source: RNAcentral